Molecule: unclassified non-coding RNA, 210 nt
Filed under: Hevea brasiliensis (rubber tree)
Lineage: Eukaryota; Viridiplantae; Streptophyta; Magnoliopsida; Malpighiales; Euphorbiaceae
Source: RNAcentral
GGAGUCUGCAAAGAUUGUACCACGGUAAGCUAUAGGGCAUAUACUAGGGAACAUAUUAAAACACAUAUUUUUAUGUUUGAUUGCUUUCUAAAUAAAUCAUGCUUUUGAUGGUUAAUUAUUAAGGCAGUAGCAUGUGUCAGUUUAGAGGAAAGAGGGCUCAAUUAGUGACAAUUUUGGAAUUUUUCAGUGUUUCCGUCACUCAGAUUUGAA